This 487-nucleotide ribosomal RNA is filed under the name uncultured bacterium. RNAcentral's name for it is "bacterial SSU rRNA". It matches the Rfam family "Bacterial small subunit ribosomal RNA", at positions 28 to 526 of the family's 1533-position model. The record is from RNAcentral.
GACGAACGCUGGCGGCGUGCUUAACACAUGCAAGUCGAACGGUGAAAGAGGAGCUUGCUCCUCUGGAUCAGUGGCGAACGGGUGAGUAACACGUGAGCAAUCUGCCCUUCACUCUGGGAUAACCUCGGGAAACCGAAGCUAAUACCGGAUACGACGCACGGAGGCAUCUCCUGUGCGUGGAAAGAAUUUUGGUGGAGGAUGAGCUCGCGGCCUAUCAGGUAGUUGGUGAGGUAACGGCUCACCAAGCCGACGACGGGUAGCCGGCCUGAGAGGGUGACCGGCCACACUGGGACUGAGACACGGCCCAGACUCCUACGGGAGGCAGCAGUGGGGAAUAUUGCACAAUGGGCGCAAGCCUGAUGCAGCAACGCCGCGUGAGGGAUGACGGCCUUCGGGUUGUAAACCUCUUUUAGUAGGGAAGAAGCGAAAGUGACGGUACCUGCAGAAAAAGCACCGGCUAACUACGUGCCAGCCGCCGCCGUAAAAC